Delphinapterus leucas (beluga whale) is the source of this 5504-nucleotide non-coding RNA. Lineage: Eukaryota; Metazoa; Chordata; Mammalia; Artiodactyla; Monodontidae. The record is from RefSeq and is a predicted model, not a curated record.
ACGCGGAAGUGGAGGGCUUUGGCCUGAGGGGCGUUGACCGACCGCCCGGCUGGAGCGCGCUGGGCUUAGGACACGGGACCUGAGAUGCGGGGAGCGACGCACGCGGGCUCCUGGCCCCUGAGCCACGCCGAGGAGUCGUCAGGAGCAUCUCGGGACGAGGAAGGUGCGUGCAGAGUUUAAGGUUCCAGGCUCCGGAGUGACCUCUGUAUUCCUGGCUCCACCUUCUGGCCUCCUGACGUGUCGAGCAAAUGACCUAAGUCCCCCGAACCUCGGUUAUGUCGCUGUGCGACGGGGAUCAUAAUAGCGUAUGUCCCAUAGGAUGGUUGAGAGAAUUAAAUGAUGUCUCGGCAGUGGGGACCCAGCCAGACUCCUGUCACGGCCAAGAACUGGUAAGUUCUCAUUCGUGUCUGAUGAGGAGGGCAGGUUUCAGCGCUCCCCGUUUCUUCCGGUUUUGGUGUUGGAGUUCCGCAACUAACAGUGCACUGAAGGAAAAAGAUUCGGCAUUUGAAAGAGAAGCAAUAGGUAACUGGGUUCUAGGAGGGUAAUUUCUCUGUCUUCAGUGAUAAGGUGAUAGGUGGUCACGUGGGUCAUCUCGGCUAGCAUUGCCGGGCACGGGGGUACCGAGAAGAAUGAGACCCCCUGACUGUGUGAGAGCUGACACGGUACCGGUGGGGCGAGAGGGGUUGUCAGUUAGCAAGGUCAGUGUGAUGGGGGUGAUGUAGAAAGUGCUUCAGAAACCCAGGUGAGGUAGCAGUUCUGUGUGGUUGGUCAGGGAAGGCUUUGGAGAUUGAAACUUGGUACUCAGUUGGAGGAACAGUGGAUUUUUCCUGCGAACAGGGAAGGUAAAGGAUAUUCCCUGAAGAGGUAAACAGCAUUAAAUACUAUGUUAAAAGUUUUCAAAACGCCUUGUAAUUUUCCAUGUGCUCUUUAGAAACGUUUGGUGUUGACAUCCACAGGAAAAAGUAACCUCUUUUGAAUAACAAGUUAAGGCUCAAAGAGUUUUAUUUGCCCAAAGUCACCUAGCUGCUGAGUUCCAGACCAAGACCAGAACCUCUGAUACCUGUUACCACGUGAUUUCCACCUUGCCUUAUGGCCUUAUUCACCCAAGCAUCUUGAAGAGUCACAGCCUCUGUGAUUUGUAAAACACAGAGAAUUUCAACCUUGGCUGCCUGUCAGCAUCACCUGUAGGGCUUUAAAAAUUACAGAUGCCUGAGCCACCUCCAGACCUAUUAAAUUAGAAAGGGUGGGGAAUGGAUGGAACGGACGUAUAAUUUUCUUUUUAAAGUAUCACAGGUGAUUUUGGUACACAGAGCUGAGAAUUACUAGAUUCCAACUUUUUUUUCUUUGUUUGACAACACGGCUAUAUCUAAAAGGUUGAUUCACAUGAGUGUUAAUGUUUCAUGUACUCCGAAAAUAUGAAUUCCUGAGUUCUCUAGGUUUGUGAUAGACAAGAAGUUUAAUAGACAUGUUCCUCCUUGGCCAACAGAUUUUUCUCUUCAUUUUCAGUUCUUUCCAAAAAUGGGGGCAAGGUCAAGUACAUGAUUGAAUGCAUCAGUUUUUAUUUAUUGAGAGAAACCAGUCAGUGUCAUAUGGGAAAAAAGGCCUAAAUGACGAAUACCUUCUGAUGAGAUUGAUCAGGAAGUGCAUUCAUUUGUAAUUAAGUUAGCCUAUGUCAAUAAUCCCAAAGCAUAGUCUCCGGAAAAGUAAUCCCUGGAGAUACUUCCGGGAGGAAGAGAAUUCCACUGCCAUGUGCGGUGAAUUGGCUGCCUGUAGCUGCAAGGGAGGCUGAGAAAGCAGAGAGCAGGAUUGUAGUGAUGAGCUUAGGCCAGUCACAAUCCAUCCCCCAGACAUAGUGCUGUCUGGAAUCAAACCACAGUGAUGUUAAACUAAGAAAAAGUAGAGAAUGGAUUUUGGUUAAGCAGCUAAAAGGGCGUGCCACAGUUUUGUUGAACCUGUUGUUUUCCAAACAUUUUGGAAACAAACCCUUUUGUGAAAUACCCUGAAAACUUGGGAAGUGCCAGCCUCUCUCACACACACACAGCCAAACAAACAAACAAACAAUUUGGGGCUUGGACUAUGUUUGUGUUGACAGUUUCCACUUAUUCUAAGGUGAAUAGACUUCCUGAUUUGGAGCGAUCUUACUUCAUUUGACUUACUUUUCCUGGACAGGUUUCCUUAGAAAACGCCAUAUACAAGCUCUGCCCUUCAGUCACUGUAGAUUAAUAGGACAUGUAGAGAUGGGCCUCAACAGCCAUAUAACUGCACCUUUUCAUCUUAUAGAUUUGGCAACUGAGGUCCAGAGAGGUUAAGUAAUUUACUCUGAGUGAUAGAACUUUGUCUCCAGACACCCAGGCCAGCAUUUUUCCAUCUCAUUAUAUUGUCUUUCUUGUCCCUGACUCUACCUGUGGCAUCUUCACUAAUGAAAUUAAGUAGGGCUUCACAAUUAUAUAUAUUUCUUUGACUUUGGAUUUUUUAAUUUUUACAUUUCAAGUAAAAUAAAUAUGUUUCUUAGAUUUUUGUAGAAUAUGUUUUUAAUUACCUGCUUAUUUUGUUUAAUAUUGCUUAUGACAAGAGACAUAAAGAAUUAAAAGCAUUAUUUUUAGCUAAAAGCAUAGUUUUAAUUAGCCCACAGUUACUGAAAGUUGAGUUGUAUUCAAUUUUAUGUUAAUGUGGUCAUUAAGCACAGUUAUCACUUGCAUAUGUAUUUUUAAACGUGAUUCUGAAUAACCAAUGUAAAGCUUUGUACUUUGUCUCUUAAAACUAAUGUUAUCACGAUUUACCUAGAUAAUGGCUUAGCACUCAGUUAAAAACCAAGCUACCCUCAACUCCCACUUUGUCCUGUAGUGGAUUUGCUUCAGAAUUUGAAAGCAGAAUCUCAAAGUUUCUCCUUGGAGAGUCUGUACUGAAUCCAAUCUGCAUUUUAUUCCGUCUGAUGUGACUUCUGAGUGGAUGCUAACUCUCUCAAAGCCUUGGUGAAUUUACUGCAGUAGAUACAGACGUAGCUUCCUCUAGGCAAAAUCCCAACCUAGUAUGCAGGAUAUAAUCAGUUAGCACAGAAUUAUCCAUCUAAAAGCAAAAUAGAUUUCAGAGCCCAAGGAUAGGCAAAGGAUCUGAAACGAGUUUUUCCAAAGAAGAUAUACAAAUGGCCAAUAAGUACAUGAAAAGGUGGUCAACAGCAUUAGCAGUCAGAGAAAUAAGACUUAAAAUCAAAUUGGAAACCUGAUGUGCUACUGCUGGGAAUGUAAAAUGGUGCAGCUGCCUUUGAAAACAGUUUGGCAGUUUUUCAAAAAGUUAAAUAAAGGGCUGUCAUAUGACCCAGCAGUUCCACUCCUAGAUGGAGAAAUGAAGACAUACUUACUCAACAAUAGAAAGACAGGGUUCUUCCCCUGGUCCCAUGAUGUUGGGGGUAGCUGGUGACAAGACAGGCCUGGUUUGCUUCGUGCUUGAGGGAGGCCUCCCUCCUGCUGUGAGAAGGCCGAUGCUCAGGCUCCUUCCAGUGAGCUGGGCUCCCACCAGAUGUAGCUCUGCUCACCAGCGUCAGGGCUCCCACAUAAGUGUGUGUGUCCAGAGCCUCAGUGUGAUAAUAAACUGGCGUUUGCCCACGCUUGUCCUCCUCUGGAGGCUUAGCAAAGGUGACCACUGCUACAGUAGGCAACUCAGGUGUGGGAAGCGUGGAGUAUUUCAGGACCCUGCCUUUGGCCAUGGCUUCAUGGUGGUGAUGCUGGGUCAAGUCAGGUCAGGAGACUGGUGUUAAUUAGGCAAUCGAAAGGGUUAAAAAGAACUCUAAGUGUCACAGAGGUAGCAGCUUCAGAAAGUAGCUACCACCUCUGUAACUGGAUGAUGGGGAAUGAGGUCAGGAUUAUUACAGUGUGGAAACCGAGAGGAGCAGGCACUGCUCUACUGAUGCCGUGAUCUCUGCGGGGAACUGACCAAGCUGGAUCUUAAGGUGUUAGGAAAGCUGUACGUGGCCUCAGCCACUGCUGCUGGGGUGAAGGAGCACUGGAGUGAGGUGCUCAGGGGCGCAGGCAGAUGGGAAGCAGGUGGCAGGAGGGACCCCUGCCCUCUCCAUCCUGCAGCAUCACUGUCCCAUCUUGGCAGAGCCGAGCGGUGAGAGAGCCUGCAGGAGUGUGGUUUGCAGACUCCCAGCUCCAGCACCAGCAGGCACCGGAUACAGGGUAAGUUUGGAGCCAGGACAGAUAACUGCUGUGAGUUCUUAGGUGAACAGACGUUCCACUGUAAGUGUACAGAUUAGGGUUUACAAAUCAGCCUCCUAUGAGCUUGAAUAACCUAAAUCAGUUCCUCAGAUCUCUUAAUAGUUCCUCCAAGGUAACCAGUAAGGAUCCUGGUCCAAGGUCACUCCAGUCAGACAUUACCCCUCAGCUGUAACCUUUUCCAGCUCUACACCCCAGGGCUGAUUCCAUCCAGGAGCUUGGUGACAUCAUAAGUGGAAAGCGAAGUUCAGGAAUGCAGGAAAAUGAAACAGCCGCAGGGAAAUGAACUCGAGCAAAUUCUGUUCACUGCCGCGGCCUUCCACCUUCAUUAAUCAACAGGCCACGAUUUUAAGGGAAGCAGUACCUGCAGUCCAGGAGGUGAGUCACGAUGGCCUCCAGUCAAACAGAGGGAUCUCAGCCACACUUGCCCAGAGUUCCUGACAGCCUGAGAGGCCAUGUGACCCAGUUCUGACUAGAGAGAGAGAGGGAGAAACCUGCAGACAAGUUUUCUAGGAAAGACCUCAUUCACUACUGAAGGUGUUCAAAGGGCGGUGCUCUGGGCCUUUCCCUUCCUUUCAUUCUCAGGAAGCAGGGCUGAAAGUGGAAUUUCUGGCACUGAGGCAGCCGUCUCGCAAUUGUGAAGUGAUAAGGAAACAUGCCAGGGAAGGUGGAGUAGGAAAAAGAGAGCCCAGAUUCUAGAUGAACUGGUUGGGCCCCUGCUCCAAGCCUGGAGCAUCUGUCUGCAGACUUACUGCUGUAAGCACCCUGUUCUGCUUAAGCUACCUUCCGGGUUUCCGGUUCGUCGCGUCCCUGCUGGGACAUUGAGGGGUAGGGCUGGGGAGCCGAGUGACCUGCACCAGAGCUUGCGGAGGAAGACGGCAUGGAGAAGCAACCCAGAUCACGCCAGACCGCUGAAACGCAGGCCGUGUCUAACAAGAAUAACACAAACUCGACAUGGUAGCUGUUUCCAAUAGGAUAUAAACCCACAACGGUUUAAAUAAAACAAAUACAAGAUGCAGUUUUGUGCAGACUAGCUUCUUAUCUUGUUGCUUGGCUGUUUACUGUGCACCCGGUUCCUUUGCUGAUGUCAAAAUGUCCUGCUUCCCCACAUCAGGAAAGUAUCCCUUUUCUCUUUUCCUCCUCCUUGGAAUCUUGAAGCCUCGUGAAGAAUAUGGUGGAAUGCUCCAAGUGUAGCAGGAAACAAAUCCUGUUGGGCACUACUGGUUGAGAAAAUCAUAACCCAUAAAGAGCAUCCCUAAACACCUAAACACACAUUUUUUUAUUAGUUACCAG